CCUACGGGAGACAGCAGUGAGGAAUAUUGGUCAAUGGGCGCGAGCCUGAACCAGCCAAGUAGCGUGAAGGAUGACUGCCCUACGGGUUGUAAACUUCUUUUAUAAAGGAAUAAAGUGAGGCACGUGUGCCUUUUUGUAUGUACUUUAUGAAUAAGGAUCGGCUAACUCCGUGCCAGCAGCCGCGGUAAUACGGAGGAUCCGAGCGUUAUCCGGAUUUCUUGGGUUUAAAGGGUGCGUAGGCGGCCUUUUAAGUCAGCGGUGAAAGUCUGUGGCUCAACCAUAGAAUUGCCGUUGAAACUGGGGGGCUUGAGUAUGAUUGAGGCAGGCGGAAUGCGUGGUGUAGCGGUGAAAUGCUUAGAUAUCACGCAGAACCCCGAUUGCGAAGGCAGCCUGCCAAGCCAUGACUGACGCUGAUGCACGAAAGCGUGGGGAUCAAACAGGAUUAGAGACCCUUGUAGUC
Molecule: ribosomal RNA, 460 nt
Filed under: uncultured bacterium
Lineage: Bacteria
Description: partial 16S ribosomal RNA
Rfam family: Bacterial small subunit ribosomal RNA
Source: RNAcentral